RNAcentral lists this ribosomal RNA (250 nucleotides) under uncultured bacterium. RNAcentral describes it as "partial 16S ribosomal RNA". It matches the Rfam family "Bacterial small subunit ribosomal RNA", at positions 355 to 619 of the family's 1533-position model. The record is from RNAcentral.
UCGAGAAUCUUCCGCAAUGGGCGAAAGCCUGACGGAGCGACGUCGCGUGGUUGAUGAAGUCCUUCGGGAUGUAAAGACCUUUUAUGUGGGAGAAAGUUAUUGAUAGUACCACAUGAAUAAGGGGUUGCUAAACUCGUGCCAGCAGCAGCGGUAAUACGAGUGCCCCAAGCGUUAUCCGGAAUUAUUGGGUGUAAAGGGUGCGUAGGUGGUUUUGUUAGUCUUGUGUUAAAACCCGGAGCUUAACUCCGGA